RNAcentral lists this non-coding RNA (26 nucleotides) under Rattus norvegicus (Norway rat). The record is from RNAcentral. Lineage: Eukaryota; Metazoa; Chordata; Mammalia; Rodentia; Muridae.
UAGAAAGCUGCCAGGUGAGCAUUUUG